This 1011-nucleotide ribosomal RNA is filed under the name Triticum aestivum (bread wheat). RNAcentral's name for it is "partial small subunit ribosomal RNA". The record is from RNAcentral. Lineage: Eukaryota; Viridiplantae; Streptophyta; Magnoliopsida; Poales; Poaceae.
AUGGCACUGCUCGGAAAUCUAACAGCAAGCCCCACGGCCGCCAUCAUUCGUAAGAUGUGGCAGGCGCAGCGCGCCGACGGCCCAGCAUCCGUGCUGGCUACCGGAACGACGAACCCGGCGAACUGCAUGCGCCAGGACGAGUACGCGGACUACUACUUCCGCGUCACCCAAAAGCAGCACCUCACCAAGCUCAAAUCCAAGCUCAACAGAAUCUGUGACAGGUCGGCCAUCAAGAAGCGCUACUUCCACCACACGGAGGAGUUGCUGCAGCAUCACCCGGAGUUCAUCGACCGCACGUUGACAUCCCUGGAUGCCCGGAUGGACAUCGCGGCCACCCCCGUUCCGGACCUCGCGGCAGCGGCCGCGGGCAAGGCCAUCGCGGAGUGGGGCCGCCCAGCCGCCGACAUCACCCACCUCGUCGUCAGCACCUACUCCGGCGCCCACAUGCCAGGCGUCGACCUCCGCCUGGCCUCCCGCCUCGGCCUCGACCCGUCCGUCCGCCGCACCAUGCUCUACCUCAACGGCUGCUCCAGCGGGUCCGCCGCGCUCCGCGUCGCCAAGGACAUUGCCGAGAACAACCGCGGUGCCCGCGUCCUCGUCGCCUGCGCCGAGCUCACCCUCAUCUUGUUCCGCGCGCCGGACGAGGCCCACGUCGACACGAUCAUCAUGCAGGCUCUCUACGGCGACGGCGCGGCCGCCGUGAUAGUCGGAGCCGAACCCGACGCCUCCGCGGAGCGCCCGAUUUUCGAGAUGGUGGCCGCCUCGCAGAGCGUGAUACCUGAGAGUACGCACGGCGCGGUCGGGCGACUUCGGGAAGACGGGCUCGUCUUCAACCCUUCCUUCGAGAUGCCGGCGCUGAUCCGGGAAAACAUCGAGCAGUGCAUGGCCGACGCAGUCGGGCCGCUUGGGUUGAGCGGUGGCUGGAACGACCUUUUCUGGGCGGUGCAUCCCGGCGGGCGGGCAAUCUUGGACAGCGUGGAGGCGGGAUCCAGUUGGAGCCAAAGAAGCUGA